GUACCGCUGAAGAGUCCCAAACUAAGACGAAACAGCUGUCUAGUAC
RNAcentral lists this non-coding RNA (46 nucleotides) under Trichobilharzia regenti. The record is from RNAcentral. Lineage: Eukaryota; Metazoa; Platyhelminthes; Trematoda; Strigeidida; Schistosomatidae.